CAGUUCGGACUGCAGUCUGCAACCCGACUGCACGAAGCUGGAAUCGCUAGUAAUCGCGGAUCAGCAUGCCGCGGUGAAUACGUUCCCGGGCCUUGUACACACCGCCCGUCACACCAUGGGAGCCGGAAAUGCCCGAAGCCAGUGACCCAACCUUAGGGAGGGAGCUGUCGAAGGUGGAGCCGGUAACUGGGGUGAAGUCGUAACAAGGUAGC
This 212-nucleotide ribosomal RNA is filed under the name uncultured bacterium. RNAcentral describes it as "partial 16S ribosomal RNA". It matches the Rfam family "Bacterial small subunit ribosomal RNA", at positions 1289 to 1500 of the family's 1533-position model. The record is from RNAcentral.